GCAUCGGUGGUUCAGUGGUAGAAUGCUCGCCUGCCACGUGGGCGGUGUGGGUUCGAUUCCCGGCCGAUGCA
RNAcentral lists this transfer RNA (71 nucleotides) under Cordylochernes scorpioides. RNAcentral describes it as "tRNA-Gly". It matches the Rfam family "tRNA". Rfam says of the family: Transfer RNA (tRNA) molecules are approximately 80 nucleotides in length. Lineage: Eukaryota; Metazoa; Arthropoda; Arachnida; Pseudoscorpiones; Chernetidae. The record is from RNAcentral.